RNAcentral lists this non-coding RNA (30 nucleotides) under Mus musculus (house mouse). Lineage: Eukaryota; Metazoa; Chordata; Mammalia; Rodentia; Muridae. The record is from RNAcentral.
UGGUGAAUCAUUUUCNGAGGACAGCCUACU